Molecule: ribosomal RNA, 84 nt
Filed under: Sugiyamaella lignohabitans
Lineage: Eukaryota; Fungi; Ascomycota; Dipodascomycetes; Dipodascales; Trichomonascaceae
Description: partial 18S ribosomal RNA
Source: RNAcentral
CCUGCGGAAGGAUCAUUAACGAGUAAAGUCGCAAGACUUUCUUUCAUCCAACACCUGUGAAUUUAAAUUUUAUCUUGCUUUGGC